UGAAAUUGUAGGACAAGGCCCGGCGCCGAGCAAAGACUAUUACCAGUUGUUGAUCACCCGAACUCAGAUCAUCUUUAGAUGGUGGAAGAUUUCCCUGAGAAGUGAGUAUCGGUCAGCAAAACCUGGAGAGACAAAGGAAACUCACGAAGACUUCCUAGAUAACUCUCAUCUUCAAGCUGUGCAAGAGUGACUCGCUGUGGGAGCAGAUAGUCCAGUCCACCUAUGACACCAUCACCCCUGACAUGCGGGCCCUGGCGAAUGACGUGGGCUGGAGACAGAUGUUCUUCACCAACAAGAUCCAGC
Molecule: long non-coding RNA, 303 nt
Filed under: Rattus norvegicus (Norway rat)
Lineage: Eukaryota; Metazoa; Chordata; Mammalia; Rodentia; Muridae
Description: long non-coding RNA NONRATT029593
Source: RNAcentral